Molecule: long non-coding RNA, 4159 nt
Organism: Chenopodium quinoa (quinoa)
Lineage: Eukaryota; Viridiplantae; Streptophyta; Magnoliopsida; Caryophyllales; Amaranthaceae
Exons: 3
Source: RefSeq, a predicted model, not a curated record
CAAAGCAAAGUUUAAUAUCUGAGAAAUAAAAAAAGUUUAUAAACCAGAAUAUUGAAGGCAAUCAAUCAAUAAUUCAUGAUGGGGGAAAAGGUUUGGAUUUUGAAAAAAUAUGAUGCCUGAUGCAACAUACAUAUGUGCUGGUUAGUAUGACCAACAAUUAGAUCUUGCUUGAGAAAGGAUGUGAUUAUGACAACUCUAUCAGCUCUAAAUUGUUGAAAUACUUCAAUUUUUUUUUAAAGAGUGUCUUCUUCUUUUAAACAUUUUUUCGCUCUGAAACAAGAACAAAAAAGUAUUUUCCCAUGUAAAGUAAAAUAAAACAGAAACCAACCACAUAGAUAAUCUCAGUGGACAAAAUACUUAUAGGAAGCAAUAAAUAUUCCUCCUUUAGAAAAUUAUUUCAAUUGAGAGAGAAUUUACAAAGAAAAGAGGACAUCAAAUUAAGAAAAACUGGAUUGCAGCCUGUAGACAACUAAAAGAUUGCUAAUUAUGUGCCUGAGCAACGAAAAAAGAAAGUUUAGGACUAACAUGUGUUUGAUAGAAAGCCACUAAUUUAUGCAACGAAAUUUGAGACCAAAGUCAUAAAGAGGCCUUGUUUGGCUAUGAGAUAGCUGUUAGCAGUUCAUUGAUUCAGACCAGAUAAUCAUAUUACUUUUUAAAAAGGAAAAAUUAGAAAUGAUACUCUCAACUUUCAUUAAUUUUGCUUGAAUAAUCCCAACUUUGGAUAAUUCUAGAAUAUUCCGAAUUUUAGGGGUUCCUAUUUUUCUUCAAUCCCAAAAACUGGUGACCGGUUGGAUAGGUUACUUCUAUUUAUUUUUUUAAAUAAGUGACACGUGCUACAUGUUAAUUGGUUAAGAAAAUUAAAAACAAACAAACAAAAAAAACAACGGUCCCAGCAAAACCCUUGACGGAGUUGACGCAAAUAAUCUGCCAAUGUUACCCCUCCUCUCACCGGCCAAUUGCCCCAGCCACGCACGAAACCCCUUUUCAUUUUCUCUAUCCUCUCAAUUGCAGCCGCUAAAUCCGGCCACUUGUGCGUCGCCGCUCGUGAAACUCCCUUGAAACCCCUCCCCUACUCCCAAAAACACCUAACCCAUCCCUGAAAACUUCGUUUUCGUUGGUGGGUUUUUGGGGUUUUAAAUGGUGGAUGCGAUUUUGGGGUUUCGUGGAUACGAAUUUGGGGUUAGGGUGGUUGCAUGGGGUUCCGGUGAUUUCACUGGUUGCGUGGGGUUUCGAGGAGGGGGGGAAACGGCGACUCAAGGAUCUUUUGUUCUUAUUACAGAGGCUUCUUUUAAAAUGGAUCCGAAGUAUCCAUGUCCAUGUGGAGCAAGUGAUCUUAAUAUCAAAACCACAAAAAAACCGGGGGUGAACCACAAUAGGAAGUUUCUAACAUGUCCUUCUGGUUGUGGUUUCUAUUCUUUUCUAGAUGAACUAAGAUUGUGCAAGUGUCGUAAGGGAUUCUGCCGCAACACCUUCAGGAAAAAUGUGAAACAUUGGUGCUGUUCGUUUAAGAACUAGUGCCCCUACUCCCUGAGCCUGAGCCUCAGCCAGAUGAAUGAUGGUAAACAAUUUAUGAACCUCAGAAGUAUGGUAAACAAUUUAUGAACCUCAGAAGUAUUUAUGAGCCUCAGCCAGAUGAACCUCAGAAGUAUUUUUCAGAAGUAGUACCCCUACUCCAGAUCCACUAAAGAAAAGCGCAGGGAAGCACUUUUGAGGUCUUUAAAAGCAACAAGAGCAGUAAACAAUGCCUUGAUUGACAUUAUUGAAGAUCUUGCUAACCUUCCGCUGAAUGAUGGUAAACAAUUUAUGAACUAAUGGUUGGAACAAUUUAUGAAUAUUGAUUUAAUUUUGUGGUUGCUGGGGUUUUGAUUAAAUUUAUUUAUCUAAUUUCAAUAUUUCCUGUUUUUUUGGCUUUAUCUGUUUUUUUUUUUUUUUUUUUUUUGGCUCCCAGAUUUCUAAUGCUCAUUGAGUUCAGUAGGCUGGCAUGGUGGAGGUAAGUACUACUCUCUUAGAUUAGGAGUACCAUGAUAGUGAAACUAGAUAAAAGAUACACGUAGAUUUAAAUCAUCCUUCAUAAUCUAAAGAACAGUCAUUGCUAAAAUUUAUCUAACAAAUGAUUUCUUAAUCGUCUUAAUUUUCGUUUUAAUUCAAGUGUUAAAUUAUUGCAAAGUUUUCUGAGUUCCUUUAAUGCUUUAGUACCAUCUCUUUCAUGCUUAGAUUUAUUGAAUAUUGAACCCUAAUUGUUGUAUUUGAAUAAUUUUCUUGUUUUUCUUUCUUUCUUUGAAGAUCAUAGUGGUGGUGGUUGCCGGUGAUGAGGGUUGCUGAUUAUGGAUAGGGAAUGAUUUUAAUUUAUGGAUUUGUUUCUGUAUUUGUAGUCAUAGGAUUUGAUUAUGGAUAUGAAUUGGAAUCUAAUGUCUAGGAUUAAAUGUCAUGAAUUUAAUGGGCUUGGCUAAUUGAGCUUCAUUUUGGAUCGGAUUCCAAUUACUCCGUACUCGUAUAUCCAACAAAACCUAUCUCAAAUCCAACAAGACCAAACCAAUCAAGAAUAUAUGUGCAAAUACCAAACUUCAAUUAAAGAAUUGAAUGCAUUCAACCAACGAAUCAAUUCUGAAAGGGAAAUUAAUGCUUCAGUCUACAACACACUUUUCUUUUUUUUUGGUGUGACAAGUCACUACUCCUCUACUCCUCGUUUUACUCUACUCCUCUUAUCCCUUGCACAUCUAUAAUCUACUCGUAUAUCUAUAAUGUAGACAAAAAAAAAAAUUCUAUAUCUAUAAUCAAUCAAUGAAUCAAUAUACUCUACUAAAGUGCUACAGGAUGAAUAUGGACAAACAUCACAUAAGUUGGUCAAGGAAUAUUUGACUCCUUAUUUUCUUAACAAAUACACAUACUCCUAAUACAUUAUAUAAGUUGGGCCAUAACUUUCCUUAUAUCACAAAAUACUACUCCCUCCGUUCCCCAAUUUUUGCACCAAAACACUGUGUGGCAGUGUUCAUUUGACCACUUUGACUCUCUCUAGUGUUUUACAUAAAAGGAAAAAUAUAAUCAUAUGAGAUCUCGUUUGAUUCGUCUCAAAGUAAACUUUUUUUAUAUAUAAUUUUUAUAAUAUAUUAUUACACAUAUUUAAAGAUUUUUUUAUUUAAAGUUGUAUCUCGGGUGAUGUGAAAAAGUAAUUGGUGCAAAUAAUAGGGGGACGGAGGGAGUAUAAAGCAAUGAAGGAAAGUUAUAUCAAUCAUAAGAAAAAGUAAUUUGGAAAUUUCUUGGUACUCCGCAUGUUUUUAUAAAUAUAAUAAAAACUCUGUAACAACAAAUCAACUUCUGCAAUUGAUUUAGCAUGUAUUUUAAGAAAACAACUUAAGGGUGUAAAAAAUAAUUUAAUUAGAAUGGUUUAAUAUAAAUAAGAAUGUAAUUAUAAUUUUCUAAUUUUAAAAAAGUCUUUAUUAAUUUUUUUAUUCGAUUAAUCAAACAACCCUUCAACUUUGCACCAAGGGGAUAGUAGUAAUAUUAUUGAUAGGCUUGGAAAUCAACAGAGGAUUUCUUGAAUUUGUUCCUUGACUUAUGGAUUAAAUCCAAAGAGGUUGCAAUUUUUGUGUUACGGUGGCAACUGGCAAGUGGAAGACAUACACCCCGUAAGGGCGAAUGAGGGAUCACGUCGGACAACGGUCAAAAAGACUUGUUUUUUUUACCUUCGUUCACUCCUAAUUUGUCAAAAGACAACUUAAAAAAAUAAUUCACAACUAUCAAAUUGUAAAACCAAAAUUUAAAAGUGAAAUGUUUUGUAGCAACUUAAAGCAAAUUAGGCUCGAGUGACCUAUGCGUCCUUAAAAUAACCUGUCCUAGUUGAUCGCGAAAAAAACAGGAAAUAUUGAAAUUAUUGAAAUUAGAGCAUACUUGUCCUUAAAAAAAAAAAACAUUAGUUCUGCAUAUAUGUCUGCGUAAAUUCAUAUGAAAAGAAGCCCAUGGCAGCAACAUGAAGGAAAAAGGAAAGUGGCAAAGAUGAAGAACAAGAGGGGCAUAUCCAAAACUCUGAGAGAGAGAGAGAGAGAGAGAGAGAGAGAAAGAGAGAGAGAGAGGGGGAGAGAGAGAGAGAGGGAGAUGGGGUUAGCUACCAUGAUAUGGUGUGUUUUGCAAACAUACGUUGUUAGGUGUUGGCUAGUUCAGC